CCUAAGCCGAGGCCGAAAGGCGUAGGCGAUGGACAACAGGUUGAUAUUCCUGUACCACCUCCUCACCAUUUGAGCAAUGGGGGGACGCAGGAGGAUAGGGUAAGCGCGGUAUUGGAUAUCCGCGUCCAAGCAGUUAGGCUGGGAAAUAGGCAAAUCCGUUUCCCAUAAGGCUGAGCUGUGAUGGCGAGCGAAAUAUAGUAGCGAAGUUCCUGAUUCCACACUGCCGAGAAAAGCCUCUAGCGAGGUGAGAGGUGCCCGUACCGCAAACCGACACAGGUAGGCGAGGAGAGAAUCCUAAGGUGAUCGAGAGAACUCUCGUUAAGGAACUCGGCAAAAUGACCCCGUAACUUCGGGAGAGGGGGUGCUCUGUUAGGGUGCAAGCCCGAGAGAGCCGCAGUGAAUAGGCCCAGGCGACUGUUUAGCAAAAACACAGGUCUCUGCGAAGCCGUAAGGCGAAGUAUAGGGGCUGACGCCUGCCCGGUGCUGGAAGGUUAAGAGGAGCGCUUAGCGUAAGCGAAGGUGCGAAUUGAAGCCCCAGUAAACGGCGGCCGUAACUAUAACGGUCCUAAGGUAGCGAAAUUCCUUGUCGGGUAAGUUCCGACCCGCACGAAAGGCGCAACGAUCUGGCACUGUCUCAACGAGAGACUCGGUGAAAUUAUAGUACCUGUGAAGAUGCAGGUUACCCGCGACAGGACGGAAAGACCCCGUGGAGCUUUACUGCAGCCUGAUAUUGAAUGUUGGUACAGCUUGUACAGGAUAGGUAGGAGCCUUGGAAACCGGAGCGCCAGCUUCGGUGGAGGCAUCGGUGGGAUACUACCCUGGCUGUAUUGACCUUCUAACCCGCCGCCCUUAUCGGGCGGGGAGACAGUGUCAGGUGGGCAGUUUGACUGGGGCGGUCGCCUCCUAAAAGGUAACGGAGGCGCCCAAAGGUUCCCUCAGAAUGGUUGGAAAUCAUUCGCAGAGUGUAAAGGCACAAGGGAGCUUGACUGCGAGACCUACAAGUCGAGCAGGGACGAAAGUCGGGCUUAGUGAUCCGGUGGUUCCGCAUGGAAGGGCCAUCGCUCAACGGAUAAAAGCUACCCCGGGGAUAACAGGCUUAUCUCCCCCAAGAGUCCACAUCGACGGGGAGGUUUGGCACCUCGAUGUCGGCUCAUCGCAUCCUGGGGCUGUAGUCGGUCCCAAGGGUUGGGCUGUUCGCCCAUUAAAGCGGUACGCGAGCUGGUUCAGAACGUCGUGAGACAGUUCGGUCCCUAUCCGUCGCGGGCGCAGGAAAUUUGAGAGGAGCUGUCCUUAGUACGAGAGGACCGGGAUGGACGCACCGCUGGUGUACCAGUUGUUCUGCCAAGGGCAUCGCUGGGUAGCUAUGUGCGGACGGGAUAAGUGCUGAAAGCAUCUAAGCAUGAAGCCCCCCUCAAGAUGAGAUUUCCCAUUCCGCAAGGAAGUAAGAUCCCUGAAAGAUGAUCAGGUUGAUAGGUCUGAGGUGGAAGUGUGGCGACACAUGGAGCUGACAGAUACUAAUCGAUCGAGGGCUUAACCA
Molecule: ribosomal RNA, 1537 nt
Filed under: metagenome
Description: bacterial LSU rRNA
Rfam family: Bacterial large subunit ribosomal RNA
Source: RNAcentral